CGGGGUGUAGCGCAGUUGGUAGCGCGCCAGUUUUGGGAACUGGAUGCCGUGAGUUCGAGUCUCACCACUCCGACCA
This 76-nucleotide transfer RNA is filed under the name Clostridiales bacterium. RNAcentral's name for it is "tRNA-Pro". It matches the Rfam family "tRNA". From Rfam's summary of the family: Transfer RNA (tRNA) molecules are approximately 80 nucleotides in length. Their secondary structure includes four short double-helical elements and three loops (D, anti-codon, and T loops). Further hydrogen bonds mediate the characteristic L-shaped molecular structure. tRNAs have two regions of fundamental functional importance: the anti-codon, which is responsible for specific mRNA codon recognition, and the 3' end, to which the tRNAs corresponding amino acid is attached (by aminoacyl-tRNA synthetases). tRNAs cope with the degeneracy of the genetic code in two manners: having more than one tRNA (with a specific anti-codon) for a particular amino acid; and 'wobble' base-pairing, i.e. permitting non-standard base-pairing at the 3rd anti-codon position. Lineage: Bacteria; Bacillati; Bacillota; Clostridia; Eubacteriales. The record is from RNAcentral.